Molecule: ribosomal RNA, 302 nt
Filed under: uncultured bacterium
Lineage: Bacteria
Description: bacterial SSU rRNA
Rfam family: Bacterial small subunit ribosomal RNA
Source: RNAcentral
GACGAACGCUGGCGGCAGGCCUAACACAUGCAAGUCGAGCGGUAACAGAUCCAGCUUGCUGGAUGCUGAGGAGCGGCGGACGGGUGAGUAAUGCAUAGGAAUCUGCCCGAUAGUGGGGGAUAACCUGGGGAAGCCCAGGCUAAUACCGCAUACGUCCUACGGGAGAAAGGGGGCUCCGGCUCCCGCUAUGGGAUGAGCCUAUGUCGGAUUAGCUAGUUGGUGAGGUAACGGCUCACCAAGGCGACGAUCCGUAGCUGGUCUGAGAGGAUGAUCAGCCACAUCGGGACUGAGACACGGCCCGA